Non-coding RNA from Hemiscyllium ocellatum (epaulette shark), 2079 nucleotides. The record is from the annotation of a RefSeq genome assembly. Lineage: Eukaryota; Metazoa; Chordata; Chondrichthyes; Orectolobiformes; Hemiscylliidae.
AUGAAUAUUUUCUUGGUUUCGUGCCUUUUAGCCUGGUUACCAAAUGUCUUUACUGCAAGGGUUGAACAAACACCGAGAACGGCAACAAAGGAGACAGGCGAAUCACUGACCAUCAAUUGCGUCCUAAAAGAUACCAGCUGUGCAUUGUAUAGCACGUACUGGUAUUUCACAAAAAAGGGCACAUCAACGAAGAAGAGCUUAUCAACUAGUGGACGAUACUCGGAAACAGUGAACUCGGGAUCAAAGUCCUUUUCUUUGCGAAUUCGUGACCUAAGAGUUGAAGACAGUGGUACAUAUCAGUGUAAUGCGUAUAAUUAUCACAGCAUACAGCCUUCUCCACCAGUCAUCAGUCUACAUUACUCUGCAACUGAAGAACAGAGGGCAAACGGAUUUCUUCAGCUGAUUUGUCUCAUCACCGGGUACUAUCCUGAAAGAAUUGCAUUGACCUGGCAGAAGAACGGAAAUACCAUAAGUUCUGGCGUUACAACUACGUCUCCAACGAAAACAGCGACCAAUGAUUUUAGCUCUACAAGUUUGCUGAAAGUGCCACUGCAGGAAUGGAACAGCGGCUUUGUGUAUAGUUGUCAAGUUUCUCAUUCUGCUUCCAAUAGUAACCAGAGAAAAGAAAUUAGUUCAACAUCGGAGAUAGCUGUAUUAUUGAGGGAUCCAUUGGUUGAAGAAAUCUGGAUCAAUAAAAGUGCCAUUCUGGUUUGUGAAGUGCUUUCUACAGUUUCCAGUGGGGUAGUUAUCUCUUGGAUGGUGGAUGGAAAGGUGCGGAAUGAAGGCGUUCAAAUUGAAGCAGCGAACAGAAACCAAUAUGUGACAAUCAGCCGCUUGACUAGCACCGUGGACGAGUGGCAGAGUGGGGUGGAAUACACAUGUUCUGCAAAACAGGAUCAAUCAUCACCCGCAGUAUCAAAACGAACAAGAAUGGCAAGAGUUAAAUCAAUGAAGCCAUAUAUCCGCCUCCUGCCUCCAUCACCAGAAGAAAUUCAGAACAGCAGCUCUGCUACUCUCACAUGUUUGCUGAGAGGAUUCUAUCCUGACAAAAUAAGCGUUUUCUGGGAGAAAGAUGGAGCUUCUGUCAACGAGAACAUCACCAAUUUCCCCACUGCUCUGGAACAGGACCUGACCUACAGCGCACGGAGCCUCCUCAUUUUACCUGCAGCGGAAUGGAAGAGUGGCGCAAAAUACACCUGUACUGCCUCGCAUCCACCUUCACAGUCCACUGUGAAAAGGGUCAUCAGAAGCCCGAAAGGUGAUUGCCGUCAGACAGAUAUUGCUGUCCAUCUACUGAAACCUCCGUUCGAAGAGAUUUGGACACAAAAGACAGCGACCAUUGUGUGUGAAAUCAUUUACAGCAACUUAGAAAACAUCAACGUUUUCUGGCAGGUGAAUGGGGCUGAAAGAACAAAAGGAGUCAAGACAGAAAAUCCUGUUUGGAACGGAAGUAAAUUCACCAUUUUGAGCAAACUUAAAGUCAUUGCGUCAGAGUGGGACAGCGGUGCCGAAUAUGUUUGCUUGGUAGAAGACAGUGAAUUACCAACACCAGAGAAAGCUUCUCUCAAGAAGAAAAUUGACGACCAAAUGCGUCCGCCUCAGGUUUAUCUCCUGCAGCCAUCGACAGACGAGAUUGACGCUGAGAAUUCAGCGACCCUUAUGUGUCUCGUCACCAGCUUUUACCCAGCUGAGAUCUACAUUGGCUGGAUGGCUAAUGACACCCUUUUGGAUAGCGGGUACCGAACCCAAUUGGAUAGCCAGGCGGGGAAUGGUUCCAACUUCGUGACCAGCAGGUUGAGAGUCACAGCGGCGGAAUGGAACAAUGACAUCACUUACUCCUGCUUAGUGGGGCACCCAUCCCUCAGCCGGGAGUUAAUCAGGAGUACAAAUAAAUCUCAUGGUAUCCCUGAAAUAAAAGAGGACCCGGUAGACUAUGACAUCGAAGAAAACGAACAAGAAAAUUUCAAUGGAGAUGCCAACAGUUCAUUAUCCAUUAUGACGUUUGUCGUCCUGUUUAUUCUUAGUACGCUGUACAGCACAUUUGUAACUGUGCUUAAGGUGAACUGACCGUCACUGCUG